UGCCUCGAGUGACGCAGGUCUUCGCGUCCUUCUUUCGCGACUAUGCAACGUUUUUUUUCUUUUCUCUUCAAACGGCGAAUGACCACUUGGCGCGAAUUGACGAUCCUCGAUAUCUUGGACUGGUUAGCUAUUCGCAGGAGCAGGAACGUGACUCGUGAGAAAUGUCCAUAGCUAACGUGACGUAACGGUAAGUGUGGGUAUCCGUUGUUCUUGGAAUAAUAAAAAGUUGCACACGUUUCAGGGGGCUAUCGUUCUCGAAACUUCGGCAGGUCCUAGAGCUCUAAACGCGGCCCUGCUAAUUUUUGGGACGCCGCAGGGAAAUUUCUCGGAAUUUCUACAAUUAGGACUUUGAGGUAGCGAGAGGCGGUUGGGUCAGUUGCUCACCUUUCUUGCGAGGAUUUCUCCGAGGUUCUUCAAGGUCGAAAUCACUCUCUCCGUUUGGCAGCACCUUGACGACUGGGAAAAUGAGGGACCCCCUCCUACAGUUUACCAAAAGUUAACCCGAGCGGUACUUUCCCUUCUACGAAAUCGGACAUCUGACUUUUUCACCCGGAAAAAGAAUUCACGGUCAUCACAAGAAAUUUCACUUGCCGCAACAACUGGGAAUACUUGUUAUAUUGAGAAG
Orussus abietinus is the source of this 625-nucleotide long non-coding RNA. RefSeq lists it as uncharacterized. The transcript has 3 exons. The record is from RefSeq and is a predicted model, not a curated record. NCBI's taxonomy places the organism in Eukaryota, Metazoa, Arthropoda, Insecta, Hymenoptera, Orussidae.